Molecule: ribosomal RNA, 495 nt
Filed under: uncultured bacterium
Lineage: Bacteria
Description: partial 16S ribosomal RNA
Rfam family: Bacterial small subunit ribosomal RNA
Source: RNAcentral
GACGAACGCUGGCGGCGUGCCUAAUACAUGCAAGUAGAACGCUGAAGGAGGAGCUUGCUUCUCCGGAUGAGUUGCGAACGGGUGAGUAACGCGUAGGUAACCUGCCUGGUAGCGGGGGAUAACUAUUGGAAACGAUAGCUAAUACCGCAUAACAGUAGAUGUUGCAUGACAUUUGCUUAAAAGGUGCAAUUGCAUCACUACCAGAUGGACCUGCGUUGUAUUAGCUAGUUGGUGAGGUAACGGCUCACCAAGGCGACGAUACAUAGCCGACCUGAGAGGGUGAUCGGCCACACUGGGACUGAGACACGGCCCAGACGCCUACGGGAGGCAGCAGUAGGGAAUCUUCGGCAAUGGACGGAAGUCUGACCGAGCAACGCCGCGUGAGUGAAGAAGGUUGUCGGAUCGUAAAGCUCUGUUGUAAGAGAAGAACGAGUGUGAGAGUGGAAAGUUCACACUGUGACGGUAUCUGAACAGAAAGGGACGGCUAACUACGUG